This 503-nucleotide ribosomal RNA is filed under the name Myxobolus musculi. RNAcentral's name for it is "bacterial SSU rRNA". It matches the Rfam family "Eukaryotic small subunit ribosomal RNA", at positions 1087 to 1460 of the family's 1831-position model. Lineage: Eukaryota; Metazoa; Cnidaria; Myxozoa; Bivalvulida; Myxobolidae. The record is from RNAcentral.
UCCAAGGGAAACCAUAAGUUUUUCGGUUACGGGGAGAGUAUGGUCGCAAGGCUGAAAUUUAAAGGAAUUGACGGAAGGGCACCACCAGGGGUGGAACCUGCGGCUUAAUUUGACUCAACACGGGGAAACUUACAUGGUCCAGACAUCGAUAGGAUAAACAGACUGAUAGAUCUUUUUUGAUGCGGUGAGUGGUGGUGCAUGGCCGUUCCUAGUUCGUGGAGUGAUCUGUCAGGUUUAUUCCGGUAACGAACGAGACUACAACCUUCAUUUAAGAGGCAGAAGCAGGUUUCGCGAUUGACUGUGCUUCGGUGCUUUCUUUCGUGUCUCUGUAAGAAAGAAUAUGCGAGUUCGCAGUGAUCAGGGUGAUCGGGCAACCGUGAACUCUGUGAUCUGAUGGAAGAAGUGUAUUUUCUCUUUUGUCAAGCAGUCUUGGGGUAACCUUUGGCUGACUUAUGGAGGGACUGCUGGUGUUACAAAACCAGAGGAAGUGUGGCGAUAACAGG